RNAcentral lists this transfer RNA (527 nucleotides) under uncultured Chromatiales bacterium. RNAcentral's name for it is "partial 16S-23S ribosomal RNA intergenic spacer". The stretch from base 114 to 187 matches the Rfam family "tRNA". Lineage: Bacteria; Pseudomonadati; Pseudomonadota; Gammaproteobacteria; Chromatiales. The record is from RNAcentral.
CCUCCUUUCUAAGGAGCUUGUCUCCAAAGAAUCUUAUGAAACAUCUGAUAAGGGUCGCCUCUUCAACGCAACUUCUCUCAGUUUUACCUGCAAGGGUCCUAGACAAUCAGGUUGGGCCUAUAGCUCAGAUGGUUAGAGCGCACGCCUGAUAAGCGUGAGGUCGAUAGUUCAAUUCUAUCUAGGCCCACCAUCUGAGUCAUAAAUAGUUGGCAAAUUUGGCCAAUUGGAGGUGGGACAAGAGCCUUUACCCUUCUUCUUGGGGGGCUGUAGCUCAGCUGGGAGAGCACCUGGUUUGCAACCAGGGGGUCGGCGGUUCAAUCCCGCUCAGCUCCACCAUUUGCUGCAUUCUGAGUGAAGUGGUUGUGGUAGAUUUGUGCGGUCCUUCGAUGGGCCGAGUUGUUCUUUGACAAUUGAAUAGACCGAAUGAAGGUCAUGUGUAUCAGAAGUAAAUGAUGUUAAGUUAUUAAGGUGUACGGUGGAUGCCUUGGCAAAGGGCGAAUUCUGCAAAAUAUCCAUUCACACUGGCA